AAAAUUAAAAUUUAAAACACUCCCUCAUAGUUUUGGCUUGUUGCACUCAGAAGCCUUGUGCCCUGUCCUGAGGACAGAUGUCUGGAUGCUGUCACAGAUGGUUAAGAAUAUCUCCAUUUUCGUGUCCUGGUCAGCCCUGCAGCAGCUGCCUGUAAUAGAGAGAAACCCUGAACUUAAUUUCCUCUGGUGCAAUUCUUUGAAAGGAUGUUCACCAGAAGAUUGCUCUGUCCAGUCAUCUUAUUCUACAGUAUAUUUGACUAAAUGUUGCUUUGUUUGACAUCGCAGCCAAAGUGUGCAUGGCUUCAUUGAGCCAAUGUAAACAGCCAGGAAUGAAAGAUAUAUUUGGAUACAUCAGAUCAGAGCAGGACUUGAAGUGAAGCUUGCUGAUUGUAAGCAGUACCUGUGUGUUUUGCAUACUGGCUUGAACCUGGAGUGGCAUUGGUUACUUCUGAGGAAAAAUCUCAGACAAAUGAAGACCUGGGGAGCCCUGACUCCACUCCUGCUACUACAGAUGCUAUAAAUGGGCACCUGCAGCCUGAUCCAGGAAGACUGGCACCACACUUGGGAACUUUUGCCAAAAGCAGUAUCUCAGUAUGCUAAGGACUGAGAUUUGUCCUGGGUGGGUAACAACAGCCACACAUACUUUUCUCCACCACAGACUACUGUCAAGAAAUGCCUCAACCUUCAUCAGAGAUAAGACAAAAAGAUCAUAGUUUAAUUUUACUUUUUGAAAAAUCCAUCAUUAAAUGGACUAGAAAUGUUCAAGAUGUUGAAUGAGGUUUCAGUUUGAGUUAGCUGCAUAAUGAGAAAACAAGGAUAAUUUAGAUUUUACAAAAAAGCUUGUCAAGUUUUGUUUCCUUCUAUCAACAUUAGCCAGGGAAGUUUGCAUAUUACUUGCACGCAGAGUCUGAAGAGGAGGAUGGAAAGUCUCCACUUUUGGCCUCUUUCUCUUACCAUGCUGAAAAUCAGUAAUGGAUCACUUAUACAAUUUCUUUCUCUUUGAAUCCAAGACUACCUCUGUCAGGCAGAUAUACAAUACUAAUGCAAGCAUCACAAAGUUCAACAAUAAUCCUAUGGCAUUCUACAUAUUCUGUGAACUUUAUGGAUGCAUUUCUAAAACUACCAGAGAGACAGUUGAAUUCCAAGUUGAUUGUGUGCAUUGGUUUUAAUUUACUCCGUCCUACUUCAUUCAUCUCCUGCUCCUGUUGCUCUCUGAAGUCUGACAACUUCUGUUCUAUCUCUGUACUUCUCCUGUAUAUUACUGUGCAUAAUUGGAUUACUGUUUUCUUUUCUCAUGCUGUUACAAUUCCCUGAAUUUGGUUUUGUUCUCAUAGUUCAUGCAGCACUUUUUUUCCUAGUUUAUAAUUUCCUUUGCAUCUCUGUUUCUUCUCUUCCUCCCCCUCAUACAGCUCUCCAGUUUUCUCCAAAGGCUGAUUCCUCAUUCUGAGUUUUAUUCCAAUAUCUUUUCUCCUUUAUCACUGCCAUCACAGUAUGAGCAGGAGUUUCCAAGCAAUUCUCAAAAGUCAUAAAGAGAUAUCCUUCAAUCAGAAUUACAUUACAUCUGUAUUCAAACUUUCACAGAGUGCCACCUCCUCUAAUAACAAAGUG
This is a long non-coding RNA of Gallus gallus (chicken), 1608 nucleotides long. The record is from Ensembl. Lineage: Eukaryota; Metazoa; Chordata; Aves; Galliformes; Phasianidae.